GUGGGGAGCAAACAGGAUUAGAUACCUGGUAGUCCACGCUGUAAACGAUGUCGAUUUGGAGGUUGUGCCCGUGAGGCGUGGCUUCCGGAGCUAACGCGUUAAAUCGACCGCUGGGGAGUACGGCCGCAAGGUUAAAACUCAAAUGAAUUGACGGGGGCCCGCACAAGCGGUGGAGCAUGUGGUUUAAUUCGAUGCAACGCGAAGAACCUUACCUACUCUUGACAUCCAGAGAACUUUCCAGAGAUGGAUUGGUGCCUUCGGGAACUCUGAGACAGGUGCUGCAUGGCUGUCGUCAGCUCGUGUUGUGAAAUGUUGGGUUAAGUCCCGCAACGAGCGCAACCCUUAUCCUUUGUUGCCAGCGGUUCGGCCGGGAACUCAAAGGAGACUGCCAGUGAUAAACUGGAGGAAGGUGGGGAUGACGUCAAGUCAUCAUGGCCCUUACGAGUAGGGCUACACACGUGCUACAAUGGCGUAUACAAAGAGAAGCGACCUCGCGAGAGCAAGCGGACCUCAUAAAGUACGUCGUAGUCCGGAUUGGAGUCUGCAACUCGACUCCAUGAAGUCGGAAUCGCUAGUAAUCGUAGAUCAGAAUGCUGCGGUGAAUACGUUCCCGGGCCUUGUACACACCGCCCGUCACACCAUGGGAGUGGGUUGCAAAAGAAGUAGGUAGCUUAACCUUCGGGAGGGCGCUUACCACUUUGUGAUUCAUGACUGGGGUGAAGUCGUAACAAGGUAACCA
RNAcentral lists this ribosomal RNA (739 nucleotides) under uncultured Serratia sp. RNAcentral's name for it is "bacterial SSU rRNA". It matches the Rfam family "Bacterial small subunit ribosomal RNA", at positions 761 to 1502 of the family's 1533-position model. The record is from RNAcentral. Lineage: Bacteria; Pseudomonadati; Pseudomonadota; Gammaproteobacteria; Enterobacterales; Yersiniaceae.